This 76-nucleotide small RNA is filed under the name Bradyrhizobium sp. CIR18. RNAcentral describes it as "suhB". It matches the Rfam family "Makes More Granules Regulator RNA (mmgR)". Rfam says of the family: SuhB later renamed mmgR (makes more granules regulator) was a putative non-coding RNA found multiple times in the Agrobacterium tumefaciens genome and related alpha-proteobacteria. Other non-coding RNAs uncovered in the same analysis include: speF, ybhL, metA, and serC. Lineage: Bacteria; Pseudomonadati; Pseudomonadota; Alphaproteobacteria; Hyphomicrobiales; Nitrobacteraceae. The record is from RNAcentral.
UACCGCUGCCCACAUGGGCGUUUCCUCCCUUGACUUGGCUGCCUGUCUAAGACCGGCAGCCCUUUAUUAGUCUGAG